UACGUCCAUAUCCCUUGCAAACAUCAGUUCUCGUUCGAUAGCCGAAGUUAAGCAACGUUGAACCUGGUCAGUACAUAGAUGGGUGACCACUCAAGAUUACUGUGUGCUGCAAU
This is a non-coding RNA of Acanthosepion pharaonis, 113 nucleotides long. The record is from the annotation of a GenBank genome assembly. NCBI's taxonomy places the organism in Eukaryota, Metazoa, Mollusca, Cephalopoda, Sepiida, Sepiidae.